Long non-coding RNA from Exaiptasia diaphana, 3410 nucleotides. RefSeq lists it as uncharacterized. The record is from RefSeq and is a predicted model, not a curated record. NCBI's taxonomy places the organism in Eukaryota, Metazoa, Cnidaria, Anthozoa, Actiniaria, Aiptasiidae. The transcript is spliced from 3 exons.
CGCUCUGAAAGACAAGAUGGUUGUAUCACGAAAGGAUGUUUCUAGCUCAUGAAGCAAAAGGUGUAAAUUUACUCAAUAUAAAGAAUGUUAUGGUCAAAAAAGGCAAGAAAUACGAAAUCCAGAAGCUACAAUUUGUAGAAUAACAGCAGAAAAGGUCACGUUUUCUAUUGAUGUGGUAAACUGUUUCUACUGACGCUUGAGGGAGACCUUCAAUAAAACUCUGCAUCUGCAAGGACAUUGGAAUCUCCACAAGUUGUGACAACAGUGUUCCAAACUCUUCCAUUAAAUUCAUAUCCACUUCUUUCUUUACAUCAUCGUUAAAGCUGUCAAGGAAUAUGUACCACUCAGUUUUCAUGCAAAAAUCAUGAUCUGUUUGGCUUGGCCAUUCGUUGACAUACGCUUCACAUGCAAAAUUCUUGAAUGCUGCUCUGAAGCUGAGUUCAGAGAAUAAGAAUCGCAAUGCUUGCCUGACUUUAAUUUGUCAAAAAAAUUCGGCUUUAUCAACCACUUAGUUGAGAGGUUUCUUUCCAUCUUUCUGGUUGUUGUUGCUUUGACCAACAUCGUUAAAAAACAUCGUCAAAAAGCAACAGCACCCCCAUUGUGACCAAUGAUGUCAUUGAAACAAACGUUUAAGAAGAAGAAGAAGAAAAAGAGCAGUGUGUUUCACUUGAAAAUGAGAAAUCUCAAAGAAAGGAACUCCUACCAAAACCAAAAUUAUAAUCAAAUGGUAAUGCGAUACGUAUGCCAGUGUUUAUUCCACGAAAAUAUUGGAACAGCAGAUGAAAAAAACUGUUGAGGAAAUCCUACAAAAUGGGGGAAAUACAGAGAAUCAGACGUUAGAGUACAGGGACACCAUUGGAUUUAAAGACGUUUAUCGAUACCUCCACUAUUUAACUUUAAACGGUUUUGAAAUUGGACUUUUAGAGCAUAAUAUCAUAUGGGAAGUUCACAGCAUACUAAUGAAGCACCGAGGUCACUUAUGCACUGUGGGACAAUGCAUUGUAAACGAAAGGGUAGUCGAGUUUGAUGGGAAGAUUCGCCGGUACCCUCCACCAUGUAACAUUGAAUCGAUUAUGCAAAUAUUAAUCGAUGACUUCAACCGAAACUUGAAUAAGAUCAAUUCACAAUUCAUCAUCAAUUCAUCAAUCGGAAAUAAAACCACAUUUGGGUCGAUAAACUGUUCUAUCCAAUCAUCAUCACCAUCAUCAGUAUUACUUUCUUCCAUGAUUCCUUGUAAAACUAAUUUUCAGAAUAAAAACCUCAAAUUUAUAUCCAAAGAAACCUAAAUUAGUACAUGACGUCAGCCGUCUCCAAAACUUUGGAGCUAUAAGCAAGUAAAGGGACACGUGUGACACGUGUUAAGAGAGUCCCAAUCUUGAUAAUUCAUCAUCUCUAAAAAUAAAACACACCUCCAUAAAAAAGACGAACACUGCUCAGAGCUUCAUUAUGCAAUCGAAAUGAAAGCUAUGGAAGUAAAAGUAGUCUGCAACAAGAAUGAUGAAAAGAAUCCCUUUGUGAAAAUUCGAAAGUUAGAUGUUGUGCCAGAAGAAAAAGUCCUCCUCACCUUGCAAGAGUGGGAGGGUCUCAAAACCAAAAUAACAUMCAUUGACAAGGAAAUAAAACAGAAAUCCAAACAACCAAAAUUGCAACGUCAAAAUGGUAAUAUGAAUAGUGUUGAUUUAGAUGUAGUGAGAGCAAUACAAGAGCUGAAUGAACUAAUUGACGCAAACAAACAAGCCUUUAAUGAUGAUGAUUUUUCAUCAGUUAAAGAUAGCAUGUCAACUCAUCCAUGGCAAGAAAAGCUAGCCAAUAUUGAAUCCAACAACUGGUAUGAUGAAGAUUCAGAAGGAAGCGAGCAAGAAAUCGAUCAACUAAGUACCAUAGCACAAGUUGAUGUAAGUGAUUUGUUUCAGUUAACACCACCACUCAUAGAUUUCACAAAUGUCAAUGCAAUGUUUAACAUUAGUCAACAAGUGGACAAAUAGCUGAAGGUGAUGCAGUGGAUUUUGCAACACAGACAAAUUUCCUCAACGAUAAUGCUAUCUUUCCUUUUGACCAUUAUAUAGACAAUCAAGAAUAUGAAAAAAGAGUGUAGAAGAGAGAUAUCAAAUUGAAAGAAACAACAAAAAUGAAAAUAGACUAGAUAAAAAAUACAUCCUACAUCAACCAUAUCAAAGAAUUGGCCCACAAAGUUGUCCCUCGUUGAGCAUAUAUGAUAAUCUUACCUUGUUGUUUCCACAUAUGGCAUGGAUUCUUUGAUAUGAUAUCAAUUUAAAAAAUAUAUAUAUGAGAGGUUUCAGCUGAAAAAGGGUCUUAUUCAUAAAUAUUUUGCUUUGGACUACAUGUAAAACUGUUGCGUCAUCAAAGGGGUCUUAAUCUUUAAGACCCUUUUUAAGUUGCAACCCCUCAUAUAAUUAUUAAAUAAUCACAUAGAAAUGAAGUAUAUCUGUAUUACAUCUAACCUCAACAUUGCAAUAAAAGUUGACUCGAAGCAUGCUUAUUUGAAAUUAUUUAUUUUGCUUUAAUGAACAGGAUAGGCUGUAAUCAAGUUCAUCUCUAAAUCUGUGACGACUUUAAUUCGAUGACAGGGGAGGCCAUCCUUCCCGUGAACACCAAUCGCCCUUCGCCGUCUGUGGCUUGUAAAAUUCAGACUAAUAGUAAAAGCACAUAAAACAUUGAUACACAAUUUUCAAAAAUGGCGCGCAAACUGGCAAACAAUGAACAAAAUCUCUGCGAAUGAAUCAAGCACUCACCGAUCUUUAUAAAUGGGAUCUUUUUCACCCCUUUUUCACCCCAUUUCCAACCGUCUCAAUAAUCAUAUCUUGAAUGAUGUCUCUGCUGUUGGUGUAAAAACGACUUUAUUUCGGUUUUGGGAAGCCCGUGUGAUCUUCAAUGAUAUGAUCCAUGUUGAUCAUAUCAUUGAAUGAAUAACAACUUGUUUUUUUUCCAAAUCCAUCUGCUCAUCCUCGAAAGAAUGCUCCUACUCGAAAUAGGAAGUUAAAAGCUUUUUUUUAAUAAACUUUUUAUUGAUUAACAUAUUAUACAAAUUACAUAUUACAAUAAAUAUUGCAAAAUUUUACUAAUAUGAGAGUAACUAUAUAUUGAUAUAUAACAGCACAAAAAGAGACACUGAAUAUAAAAACAACAAAACAACAACAACAAAAACAAAAACAUCAAUCAUACAAAUGGCAAACACCCUUUUCAUAACGAUUACUCAUUAUUUAUGCAAAAUCUUUAAAUAGAACUGAACAACUUUUUCCAUUUUUUGUAAUGGAAGUCUAAUUUUUCUUUGUUCAGAGCAAUUGAAUACUUUAUUUUUUUAUAAAAUUUUAAUAGCAUUUUAAAAGAUUCUAGGGAGGGAUUAGCUAAAGGCUUGUCUCUUAGUUUAUAAAGUGAGAAUUUGUACAAAA